Molecule: ribosomal RNA, 402 nt
Filed under: uncultured bacterium
Lineage: Bacteria
Description: bacterial SSU rRNA
Rfam family: Bacterial small subunit ribosomal RNA
Source: RNAcentral
UGGGGAAUAUUGGACAAUGGGCGAAAGCCUGAUCCAGCCAUGCCGCGUGAGUGAUGAAGGCCCUAGGGUUGUAAAGCUCUUUUGUGCGGGAAGAUAAUGACGGUACCGCAAGAAUAAGCCCCGGCUAACUUCGUGCCAGCAGCCGCGGUAAUACGAAGGGGGCUAGCGUUGCUCGGAAUCACUGGGCGUAAAGGGUGCGUAGGCGGGUUUCUAAGUCAGAGGUGAAAGCCUGGAGCUCAACUCCAGAACUGCCUUUGAUACUGGAAGUCUUGAGUUCGGGAGAGGUGAGUGGAACUGCGAGUGUAGAGGUGAAAUUCGUAGAUAUUCGCAAGAACACCAGUGGCGAAGGCGGCUCACUGGCCCGAUACUGACGCUGAGGCACGAAAGCGUGGGUAGCAAACA